CGUUAUGGCGGCUAUGCGCGGGAGGUCUUCAGGCCUGCCGGGUUCCUAUUGUCCCGGUUUUCCAGCCCGCGUAUGGCUGUCACCUUU
This 87-nucleotide non-coding RNA is filed under the name Pseudomonas psychrophila. Lineage: Bacteria; Pseudomonadati; Pseudomonadota; Gammaproteobacteria; Pseudomonadales; Pseudomonadaceae. The record is from RNAcentral.